GCACGCGUAGCCAAGCGGCAAGGCGACGAUCUGCAAAGUCGUUCAGCGUCGGUUCGACUCCGACCGCGUGCU
This 72-nucleotide transfer RNA is filed under the name Acidobacteriota bacterium. RNAcentral describes it as "tRNA-Cys". It matches the Rfam family "tRNA". From Rfam's summary of the family: Transfer RNA (tRNA) molecules are approximately 80 nucleotides in length. Their secondary structure includes four short double-helical elements and three loops (D, anti-codon, and T loops). Lineage: Bacteria; Pseudomonadati; Acidobacteriota. RNAcentral also lists the same sequence under 2 other names. The record is from RNAcentral.